Molecule: long non-coding RNA, 250 nt
Organism: Mus musculus (house mouse)
Lineage: Eukaryota; Metazoa; Chordata; Mammalia; Rodentia; Muridae
Product: RIKEN cDNA 1700062C10 gene
Exons: 3
Source: RefSeq, a predicted model, not a curated record
GACACUUUAUCUCCAUAUUCGUUCCUAAAGAUUUUUGGGAGACAACCCUUCCCCAGUAAGAUGUGAUCGACAUUGCCCACAGUGGUAACAUCUCAUUAACACAGGCUGUGCUAACUUUGUGACUUACUUUGGGUGAAGAAGGGCAAGAGACAUAUGAGAUACCACUUUCUGUCUGCUACCUCCAGAGGUUCAGUGCUUGAACAUGCUUCUAACCCAGAUAUUGUGAUGAUCCAAGGCAAGGCAAGACUAC